ACAAGCGGUGGAUGAUGUGGAUUAAUUCGAUGCAACGCGAAAACCUUACCUACCCUUGACAUGUCCAGAACCCUGCAGAGAUGCGGGGUGCCGAAAGGGAAUUGGAACACAGGUGCUGCAUGGCUGUCGUCAGCUCGUGCCGUGAGGUGUUAGGUUAAGUCCUGCAACGAGCGCAACCCUCGUCGCUAGUUAAUUUCUCUAGCGAUACUGCCCGUAAAACGUGGAGGAAGGUGGGAUGACGUCAAGUCAGCAUGGCCUUUAUGUCUUGGGCUACACACACGCUACAAUGGAUGGUACAAAGGGUUGCCAAAGAGCGAUCUGGAGCUAAUCCCAAAAAACCAUCCUCAGUUCAGAUUGCAGGCUGCAAUGCCUGCAUGAAGUUGGAGUUGCUAGUAACCGCAGGUCAGCACACUGCGGUGAAUACGUUCUCGGGCCUU
RNAcentral lists this ribosomal RNA (437 nucleotides) under uncultured Chloroflexota bacterium. RNAcentral's name for it is "bacterial SSU rRNA". It matches the Rfam family "Bacterial small subunit ribosomal RNA", at positions 925 to 1382 of the family's 1533-position model. Lineage: Bacteria; Bacillati; Chloroflexota. The record is from RNAcentral.